RNAcentral lists this ribosomal RNA (460 nucleotides) under uncultured bacterium. RNAcentral describes it as "partial 16S ribosomal RNA". It matches the Rfam family "Bacterial small subunit ribosomal RNA", at positions 338 to 795 of the family's 1533-position model. The record is from RNAcentral.
CCUACGGGUGGCAGCAGUGAGGAAUAUUGGUCAAUGGACGCGAGUCUGAACCAGCCAAGUCGCGUGAAGGAUGACUGCCCUAUGGGUUGUAAACCUCUUUUAUAUGGGAGUAAAACACGCCAUGCAUAGCGUCCCGUGUGUACCCGAUGAAAAAGCAUCGGCUAACUCCGUGCCAGCAGCCGCGGUAAUACGGAGGAUCCGAGCGUUAUCCGGAUUUAUUGGGUUUAAAGGGUGCGUAGGUGGAUGGUCAAGUCAGUUGUGAAAGUUGGGGGCUCAACCGUAUGAUUGCAGUUGAAACUGGCUGUGUUGAGUACAGUAGAGGUAGGCGGAAUUCGUGGUGUAGCGGUGAAAUGCUUAGAUAUCACGAAGAACUCCGAUUGCGAAGGCAGCUCACUGGACUUCAACUGACACUGAUGCACGAAAGUGUGGGUAUCAAACAGGAUUAGAUACCCGGGUAGUC